This 446-nucleotide ribosomal RNA is filed under the name uncultured bacterium. Its description in RNAcentral is "SSU rRNA". It matches the Rfam family "Bacterial small subunit ribosomal RNA", at positions 26 to 518 of the family's 1533-position model. The record is from RNAcentral.
AGAGCGAACGCUGGCGGCAGGCUUAACACAUGCAAGUCGAACGGACUCUUCGGAGUUAGUGGCGGACGGGUGAGUAACACGUGGGAACGUGCCUUUAGGUUCGGAACAACACAGGGAAACUUGUGCUAAUACCGGAUAAGCCUUUCGAGGGAAAGAUUUAUCGCCUUUAGAGCGGCCCGCGUCUGAUUAGCUAGUUGGUGAGGUAAAGGCUCACCAAGGCUACGAUCAGUAGCUGGUCUGAGAGGAUGGCCAGCCACAUUGGGACUGAGACACGGCCCAAACUCCUACGGGAGGCAGCAGUGGGGAAUCUUGCGCAAUGGGCGAAAGCCUGACGCAGCCAUGCCGCGUGGAUGAUGAAGGUCUUAGGAUUGUAAAAUCCUUUCAGUCGGGGACGAUAAUGACGGUACCCGCAGAAGAAGCCCGGCUAACUUCGCGCCAGCAGCCGC